RNAcentral lists this ribosomal RNA (840 nucleotides) under Schizophyllum commune. RNAcentral describes it as "eukaryotic LSU rRNA". It matches the Rfam family "Eukaryotic large subunit ribosomal RNA", at positions 1 to 788 of the family's 3401-position model. The record is from RNAcentral. Lineage: Eukaryota; Fungi; Basidiomycota; Agaricomycetes; Agaricales; Schizophyllaceae.
UUGACCGAGACUAGCGACUUGUGCGCUAACUUUUGACUUGACCUCAAAUCAGGUAGGACUACCCGCUGAACUUAAGCAUAUCAAUAAGCGGAGGAAAAGAAACUAAACAAGGAUUCCCCCUAGUAACUGCGAGUGAAGCGGGAAAAGCUCAAAUUUAAAAUCUGGCGGUCUCCGGCCGUCCGAGUUGUAAUUUAGAGAAGCGUUAUCCGUGCUGGACCGUGUAUAAGUCUCCUGGAAUGGAGCGUCAUAGAGGGUGAGAAUCCCGUCUUUGACACGGACUACCAGUGCAUUGUGAUGCGCUCUCGACGAGUCGAGUUGUUUGGGAAUGCAGCUCAAAAUGGGUGGUAAAUGCCAUCUAAAGCUAAAUAUUGGCGAGAGACCGAUAGCGAACAAGUACCGUGAGGGAAAGAUGAAAAGAACUUUGGAAAGAGAGUUAAACAGUACGUGAAAUUGUCGAAAGGGAAACGGUUGCAGUCAGUCGCGUCCGCCGGGGAUCAACCUUGCUUUUGCUUGGCGUAUUUCCCGGUGGAUGGGUCAGCAUCAGUUUUGACCGCAGUUGAAAGGCUGGAGGAAUGUGGCACCUUCGGGUGUGUUAUAGCCUCCUGUCAUAUGCUGCGGUUGGGACUGAGGAACUCAGCACGCCGCAAGGCCGGGAUUCGUCCACGUUCGUGCUUAGGAUGCUGGCAUAAUGUCUGUAACCGACCCGUCUUGAAACACGGACCAAGGAGUCUAACAUGCACGCGAGUGUUUGGGUGGCAAACCCGAGCGCGUAAUGAAAGUGAAAGUUGAGACCUCUGUCGUGGAGGGCAUCGACGCCCGGACCAGAACUUUUGGGACGGA